RNAcentral lists this transfer RNA (71 nucleotides) under Ornithorhynchus anatinus (platypus). It matches the Rfam family "tRNA". Rfam says of the family: Transfer RNA (tRNA) molecules are approximately 80 nucleotides in length. Their secondary structure includes four short double-helical elements and three loops (D, anti-codon, and T loops). Lineage: Eukaryota; Metazoa; Chordata; Mammalia; Monotremata; Ornithorhynchidae. The record is from Rfam by way of RNAcentral.
AGCAGUGUGGCCUAAUGGAAAGAACACAGCCUGAGAGGCAGAGGACCUGGGUUCUAAUCCCAGCUCUGCCA